AAUUCAGCGUUUGCACUAUUAUAAGCCAUGCUUCAGAAGUUUGGGCAGUGUCUCCUUCUGCUACGCCUGUGAAGCCACCACGUCCCAAGCUGUCCUCGGCAGGACCCUCCUCUCGGGGCACUUGGCACAGCGCCAGAUACAGGGCUCUUCUCAGCCCACAUGCCUCUCCUUCAGGGGACCACUGUCACUGUACACUGCGCCAUGCCUCUGCUGUCCCUCCGUCCAGGCCGUGGUUUCUGUAACACACGUCUCCAAUCGCUUAAAUCAUGAUUUGUGGUCUUUGGAGCUGAGCCGGAGGGGAUCUGGUUCCCUGUGGUGUCCCUGGCCGCCAGCACGGCGUUUUAUAAUGGUCAGAAGCAAGAACUCACGUCACUUCCUGUGGAUUUACUGUGACUCUGCCACCUGCCACCCAACUCUUCACUUCCUUCUCUGAGUUAUCACGUCACCCAUCACACACAGGGACAGUGGGGUUUCAAUGAGAUACGGCACAUAGCCUAACCCUGCCAAGGCUCAGCUUCGCCGAUGGGGAGUGCCUGUUCUGUGCCAGUACCAUUGUAAGUGCUUUCCAUCGGGGUGGGCAAACUGUGGUCCACAGGCCCAAGCCACCCUGCCACCUGUUUUUGCACAGCCCACAAGAGCUAAGAGUGGCUUUUACAUUUCUAAAGGGUUGGGGAAAAAAAGAAAAAAAAAAGAGCCAUAUUUUGUGAUACAUGAAAAACUGCAUGAAAGGGAAUUUCAUUGUCGAUAGAUAAAGUUUUAUUGGAAGGUAGCAUGUCCUUUCUUUUUACACACGGUCGACGGUGGCUUUUAGGAACAGCAGCUGGAACAGAGGUGGUAUGGCCCACAGCAGCCCAAAUAUUUUCUGCCUGGCCCUUUGCAGAAAGAGUUUGCUGACCUUGGAUUUGCUGACCUUGGACUACAUGGAUGAGCUCAUCUAAUCAAUCCUGCACAGUGCAGGCUGUUUUUCUCCACCCACACUGUCCACAUGGGGAAGCGAGGUACGGACAGGUUAAGAAAUGGCUUGAAGUCACACACAGAGUAUAAAUGGUAGAGCUGGGGUUUGGUUUCCAGCGCUGGGGCUCUUCAUGGUUCCACCAUGGGGCAGGUUAUUGGUCUUUGCAGUGAGCAGCAUGAGGCAGAACGAGCUGAAGCCAGUGAUGCGAGGGGUAGAGUCAGCAUUUAGAACCUGGGCGGUCAGACCUCAGAGUUCUUGGUCUUUCUCUCAUAUGGGUUCUUUCCUCUUCUUCCAUCUUCUAGCAGCAUCACCCGCUAAACACGGAACCAGACAUACAGGGGCGUUCAGUAGGUCCUUAAAAGGCCAGGUGCCAGAGAGCAGGGAGGUAGUACAGGACUAGCUAGGGUUAUAUGCUUUCUAUUAAAUACUAGCUCAGUGAAUGUUUGUGGAAUGAAUGAAUGAAUCUGGUGAUGGGCUCCUGGAUUCUUAAGUUAAGCUCCUUAAUUCUAGAUACAGACGGGGACCCUUAGAAAAAGCAACAAACCCCAGGACCUUCUCAUGGGAAGGUGACCUUUCUGGGCCCCAGUUAUGCUCCCCAGGUAUUGGGUUCUUGGGCCAAAAGACCCGUCUUCAGUUAAAAUUUCACUCAAGGUGAGCUCCUGCUGUGGCACACUGGGUUGAGGAUCUGGCCUUGCCACAGCUGUGGCAUGGGUUGCAGCUGCAGCUCAGAUUCAGUCCCUUGCCCCUGAACUUCCAUAUGCCAUGGGUGGGGCCAUUAAAUAAGUAUAUGAAUAAAUUAAAUAAACAAACAAAUAAAAUUUCACUGGAGGAAAACUGCUCCCAUUUCCAUGCAUCACAGUGGGCUCUACUUUUAUUGAUCCUGACUAUUUGGUUUCUUUAAACAGCUUUGGGGAGGUAGAAAUUGUGUGGUAAGUUGCCACACAAUUUACCAAUCUUAGAACUGUUUCCCCACCUCCUAAAGAAAGUCUGUCCCCUCAGCUCUCACCUCCCAAUCCCUCUUUUACCCCCAAUCCUAAGCAACCCCUAAUCCACUUUCUCUUCCUUUGGAUUUGCCUAUUCUACUUCAUGUGAAUGAAAGCAUAGGAUAUGUGGUCUUUCGUGGACUUACCAAACUAUUCCUUUAAGAUCUGGACAUUUCACUGAGGUGUUGAUGGCUUCUUUCACUUGGGUUCAUGGUCUCCAGGUUCGUCCGCACCGUCUUGUGUACCUGUGCUUUAUUCCUCUUUAUCCCGUGGACGGAUAUACCCCAUUUUAUUUGUUCAUUCGUCAGUUGAUGGAUGUUGGGCUUUCCCACUUUUUGGUGAUUAUGAAUAAUGCUGCUCUGAAGGUACCAGGUUUUCUAACUAACUAACUAACUAACUAACGUAUGUUGGUUUUCAUCCUUCUUGAGUUUACAUACCUAGGAGUGGAAUGGCUGGGUCGUAUGGUGACUCCAUGUGGUAGUUACCUUUUGAGGAACUGCCAGACUGUUUUCCAAAGCACCUACGACUGUUUUCUGUCCCCACCAGAACUGCCUGUAUUUGCUUAUCAUUCAUGCUUGUCUUUAAAGAUAACGUGAUUCCAUUUAUAUGAAUAUUUUUUAAAAUUUUAUUUAAUUUUAUUCUUUUCUUUUUUGGCCGCCCCAUGGCUUGUGGAGUUCCCAGGCCAGGGAUCAGACCCAAGCCACAGUUGUGACCUGUGCCACAGCUCCUGCAGUGCCCAAUUCGUAACUCACUGCGCCAGGCCAGGACUGAACCUAAGUCCCAGCGCUGUUGAAAUGCCACCCAUCCCAUUGCACCACAGCGGGAACCCCUAUAUGAGUUGUUAGAGCACGCAAAAUUCAUCAGUUGUGCUAGAAAUCACCCCAGGGCUGCCUCUGGGAGGCAGGCAGAGGGUGCUUGCUGGUAGAGGGAGAUGUUUUGUGUCUGGGUGAUUUAGUGUGUUUGGUGUCUGCAUUUGUCAGAACUCACCAAACUGUUCCUUUAAGAUCUGGACAUUUCACUGAGUGUUAAUUAUACCUAAAUUAAAAAAAAAAAAACCAUACAAAUGAAAACAACAUAGGUGGGGCGGGGAAAGAAAGAAAUAUAUAAAUAAUCUCAGGACAUGACUUAUCUUAUCCACCUUCCCCUGGGCAGAGGGCCUGAGCUGGGCAGGCGAGGCCAAGCGUAAAGGGCUCUUAAUUGAUGUGAUUAACUGUGUCUCAAUAGGGAGCCUCGUUAGCAUGAGGGUCGAUGGAAAGGAGGUUAUUUUUCAUUCUCCCAACUAGGGGAUGGCUGGAAGAGGGGCCUGGGGGCCAUUUGGGGCUGUUUCCUGUAGGGGGGCGGGCAGGGGGCAGUGGGAGGUCCUGUCCCUUCUGCUUAGAAGAACCACGUUUUCCUUCGGCAUUAAGAUACUUUUCCAAAAAAAAUCAUUUUCUCAGUUGCUGCAAAAACCUGUGCUCUGUUUUCCUCUGUGGAGAGGAGGAGACCUACCUGAUUUUUUUUUUGGGGGGGUAUGUUUUCUAAGGUUGUAUCAUCCAGUAGAACAAAGGAUUUAGACAGAACACUUUAAUUUUUCCUAAAUGCAUUAAUGGCUGAUGCACAGUCACCAGGAAACAAACUAAAAGAAGUAAAAGGUUUUAUCUCUCUCUCUGAGAAUCUGCAAGGAAAUGUGGAUUGAGCUAAUUCACAGAAAAUUAGGAUUGGAAAGUUGUCACUAAUUAUCCAUGUAAAAAAUUAUAAACAUUUAAAAAUUAAAAACCCAUGUAAAAAUGUGUUUAUAAAAUCACAAAAGUGUAUCAUUUUAUUUGUAUACU
This 3749-nucleotide long non-coding RNA is filed under the name Sus scrofa (pig). RNAcentral's name for it is "lncRNA (ENSSSCG00000042095.1)". The record is from RNAcentral. Lineage: Eukaryota; Metazoa; Chordata; Mammalia; Artiodactyla; Suidae.